This 464-nucleotide ribosomal RNA is filed under the name uncultured bacterium. RNAcentral describes it as "partial 16S ribosomal RNA". It matches the Rfam family "Bacterial small subunit ribosomal RNA", at positions 339 to 795 of the family's 1533-position model. The record is from RNAcentral.
CUACGGGUCGCUGCAGUGGGGAAUAUUGCACAAUGGGCGCAAGCCUGAUGCAGCCAUGCCGCGUGUAUGAAGAAGGCCUUCGGGUUGUAAAGUACUUUCAGCGGGGAGGAAGGGAGUAAAGUUAAUACCUUUGCUCAUUGACGUUACCCGCAGAAGAAGCACCGGCUAACUCUGUGCCAGCAGCCGCGGUAAUACGGAGGGUGCAAGCGUUAAUCGGAAUUACUGGGCGUAAAGCGCACGCAGGCGGUUUGUUAAGUCAGAUGUGAAAUCCCCGGGCUCAACCUGGGAACUGCAUCUGAUACUGGCAAGCUUGAGUCUCGUAGAGGGGGGUAGAAUUCCAGGUGUAGCGGUGAAAUGCGUAGAGAUCUGGAGGAAUACCGGUGGCGAAGGCGGCCCCCUGGACGAAGACUGACGCUCAGGUGCGAAGGCGUGGGGAGCAAACAGGAUUAGAUACCCCGGUAGUC